AUUGAACGCUGGCGGCAGGCUUAACACAUGCAAGUCGAGCGGAAACGAUGUAGCUUGCUACAGGCGUCGAGCGGCGGACGGGUGAGUAACGCGUAGGAAUCUGCCUAGUAGUGGGGGACAACAUGUGGAAACGCAUGCUAAUACCGCAUACGCCCUACGGGGGAAAGGAGGGGAUCUUCGGACCUUUCGCUAUUAGAUGAGCCUGCGUAAGAUUAGCUAGUUGGUAGGGUAAAGGCCUACCAAGGCGACGAUCUUUAACUGGUCUGAGAGGAUGGCCAGUCACACUGGGACUGAGACACGGCCCAGACUCCUACGGGAGGCAGCAGUGGGGAAUAUUGGACAAUGGGCGCAAGCCUGAUCCAGCCAUGCCGCGUGUGUGAAGAAGGCCUUAGGGUUGUAAAGCACUUUCAGGGGUGAGGAAGGGUGUUUGGUUAAUAUCCAAACAUUUUGACGUUAGCCCCAGAAGAAGCACCGGCUAACUCUGUG
This 486-nucleotide ribosomal RNA is filed under the name uncultured bacterium. RNAcentral describes it as "partial 16S ribosomal RNA". It matches the Rfam family "Bacterial small subunit ribosomal RNA", at positions 30 to 507 of the family's 1533-position model. The record is from RNAcentral.